Non-coding RNA from Oryza sativa Japonica Group (Japanese rice), 1426 nucleotides. The record is from RefSeq and is a predicted model, not a curated record. Lineage: Eukaryota; Viridiplantae; Streptophyta; Magnoliopsida; Poales; Poaceae.
CCUGCACCUGUAUUUUGUAUUUCAUUGGUGGUUUUUGCAGAAGAUCUUCUUGGAUACUACUAGAGAACUUGCAAAACACACAAACAAUCUAGUCGAUGAGGUCUGGAAUUACAUGAAAGAUGGAAAACUUAUCCAUUCUGCAGUUCUGCUCCUGGCAGCUCAAGAUCAUAUCCGCUCUGGAUCAUCCUGCAGAAAAGUUGGUGGUAAUAAGCUAGAUGGUUUUGCUACUAUCUUUGCUCGUAUCCAUCACUCUAUGGCCUUAGAAUGGCAGAUGCAUCAGAAUGGACAAGCUAAGCUUAAACUUUUGUUGUCUUCAUCGUUGCUUGUUAAUAUAAUCUUCCGAGCCGGUGAAGCACUUGAUGCAUACAUUCGAGAGCACUCUAUGUUAUCCUCUCUUGGGGCAUCUGCAGUUUCAACUAAUUUGUUCAUGUUAUUUGCUGUUUAUAUAUUGCUUUUCUUUCUUUGAACCUCUCUUCUCCCUUUUGUUUUUAUGUAAAAGUUGGAAAAUGCCAUGCAGGUGCCACAUACAGAGGUCCUUGAACAUGUUUCAUUGAUCCUAAAGGGUUUUGAUUUCUGUCCCACUGGAGAAGGCAUUGACGUUGGAAACAUCUGCCCUUACACAUUACCGAUGCCCAACAAGGAGGUACCUGACAAAUCUGGGAGCUCGGUUGCAAGCAAGGCAACUACAGAUGUGCCUUAUCUGCUUGCUGUAAAGAAAAAGGCUAUGAGAAAGAAGAAACCACCCCAUGGAUGGGAGGACAGAUGCAAACUCCUAAGUUAUCUUCCAUUUUGGAGAACAGUACUGUCGGUCCCAUGGUGUCCUGCGAAGAAUUUACCAAGCCAUAGAUUAGAGGAUCAGGACAAGCAUCUCUGCCAGAUCAACAAUCAUCGGCGUAAGUUAAGAGAGGAACGGCGUAAGUUAAGAGAGGAAGCAUCUUCUGCAACUCCAAACCAUAAUCUUGGUUUGUUUGGAAGGAUUCCACACUUGAGUAUUUAUCAACCAAGAAGAUUAUUCGCUAGUGCUGCAUUGACGCUUAUCAAGGUGUUAAGGAAUGCAUGAGUAGAAAAGGUGCUUGGGAAAAUUUCAUAUAUAAUUAUCCCCGGCAGCCUCAAGUUUAUAGUUAAUUGGUGAAUCUUUUAUUCAAGGAUGCUGCCAGUUCAGUGGUUGGGGCUAUGACUUUUGUUGUGCCAUGUACUAAGCAUCGUAGCCAUGAUUGUGUUGUGCUGUGACAUGUUUCACGGUGCUCUCCUGAACAGGCCGGCUGCUUAGUAUUUAUGUCUGGCACAUAUAACAAGCUCACUGUCACGUUCGACCUUUUCUUUUGGCACGCUUGACUACCUGUAGCCCCAUCGGAUGAAAACAUUAUCCUGUUGUAAUUUUGUGAUUAAGGAUUAUUAAGGCGCGACUAGCAGUUUAGCACCAUAA